Molecule: ribosomal RNA, 301 nt
Filed under: uncultured bacterium
Lineage: Bacteria
Description: partial 16S ribosomal RNA
Rfam family: Bacterial small subunit ribosomal RNA
Source: RNAcentral
CAGUCGCCACGGUAAUACAGAGGAUGCAAGCGUUAUCCGGAAUGAUUGGGCGUAAAGCGUCUGUAGGUGGCUUUUCAAGUCCGCCGUCAAAUCCCAGGGCUCAACCCUGGACAGGCGGUGGAAACUACCAAGCUGGAGUACGGUAGGGGCAGAGGGAAUUUCCAGUGGAGCGGUGAAAUGCGUUGAGAUCGAAAAGAACACCAACAGCGAAAGCACUCUGCUGGGACGACACUGACACUAAGAGACGAAAGCUAGGGGAGCAAAUGGGAUUAGAUACCCCGGUAGUCCCUGUCUCUUAUAC